CUUCUCUUCACUGAAUAUGAGGCAGAGGUUUGUUGCUGGGUCAGUGUCUCUGAUCCCUCCAUGGAUCCUUUGUGGCAAAACCCAGCUGGGCUUCUCAGGAGCCUCCCAGUCCCUGGAUGGACAGCAGGUCCUCCAGCUCGGCCUCCUGGUGUAGUGCCUCUGCUGACAGCUGGGGGGCUCCAGGGAAGCACAGCAGGAUGAUACUGAUGUUGUCCAAGCUGCCCUGUGGACCAGAGCGGCAUCAACAGAGCAUGUGACCCAGGAGGUGCUGGGAGCAAUAUUGUGCCACCGUGCUGCCUGCAUGACCAUCAAACACAGCGAAGAAGCUCCAGUCGGC
Thunnus maccoyii (southern bluefin tuna) is the source of this 337-nucleotide long non-coding RNA. RefSeq lists it as uncharacterized. The record is from RefSeq and is a predicted model, not a curated record. NCBI's taxonomy places the organism in Eukaryota, Metazoa, Chordata, Actinopteri, Scombriformes, Scombridae. The transcript has 4 exons.